Molecule: ribosomal RNA, 913 nt
Filed under: uncultured archaeon
Lineage: Archaea
Description: bacterial SSU rRNA
Rfam family: Archaeal small subunit ribosomal RNA
Source: RNAcentral
UUCCGGUUGAUCCUGCCGGACCUGACUGCUAUCGGAUUGAUACUAAGCCAUGCGAGUUUUUGUAGUAAUACAAGGCAGACGGCUCAGUAACACGUAGUCAAUCUAACCUAUGGACGAGGAUAACCUCGGGAAACUGAGAAUAAUACUCGAUAGAUCAUUAUGCCUGGAACGGUUUAUGGUUCAAAUGAAUUUCGCCAUAGGAUGGGACUGCGGUCUAUCAGCUUGUUGGUGAGGUAAUGGCCCACCAAGGCUAUUACAGAUACGGGCUCUGAGAGGAGAAGCCCGGAGAUGGGUACUGAGACACGGACCCAGGCCCUAUGGGGCGCAGCAGGCGAGAAAACUUUGCAAUGUGCGAAAGCACGACAAGGUUAAUCCGAGUGAUUCCUGCUAAAGGAAUCUUUUGUUAGUCGUAAAACCACUGAUGAAUAAGGGGUGGGCAAGUUCUGGUGUCAGCCGCCGCGGUAAAACCAGCACCUCAAGUGGUCAGGAUGUUUAUUGGGCCUAAAGCAUCCGUAGCCGGCUUUGUAAGUUUUCGGUUAAAUCUAUAUGCUCAACAUAUAGGCUGCCGGGAAUACUGCAAAGCUAGGGAGUGGGAGAGGUAGACGGUACUCCGUAGGAAGGGGUAAAAUCCUUUGAUCUAUGGAUGACCACCUGUGGCGAAGGCGGUCUACCAGAACACGUCUGACGGUGAGGGAUGAAAGCUGGGGGAGCAAACCGGAUUAGAUACCCGGGUAGUCCCAGCUGUAAACGAUGCAAACUCAGUGAUGCAUUGGCUUGUGGCCAGUGCAGUGCCGCAGGGAAGCCGUUAAGUUUGCCGCCUGGGAAGUACGUACGCAAGUAUGAAACUUAAAGGAAUUGGCGGGGGAGCACCACAAGGGGUGAAGCCUGCGGUUUAAUUGGAUUCAACGCCGGA